This 503-nucleotide ribosomal RNA is filed under the name uncultured bacterium. RNAcentral describes it as "bacterial SSU rRNA". It matches the Rfam family "Bacterial small subunit ribosomal RNA", at positions 31 to 518 of the family's 1533-position model. The record is from RNAcentral.
GAACGCUGGCGGCGUGCCUAACACAUGCAAGUCGAACGGAGAAUUUACGCUGAUGAAGCUUCGGCAGAUUCUUGUAAAUUCUUAGUGGCGGACGGGUGAGUAACGCGUGGGCAACCUGCCUCAUACUGGGGGAUAACAGCUGGAAACGACUGUUAAUACCGCAUAAGCGCACGGUAUCGCAUGAUACAGUGUGAAAAACUCCGGUGGUAUGAGAUGGGCCCGCGUCAGAUUAGCCAGUUGGCAGGGUAACGGCCUACCAAAGCGACGAUCUGUAGCCGGCCUGAGAGGGCGGACGGCCACAUUGGGACUGAGACACGGCCCAAACUCCUACGGGAGGCAGCAGUGGGGGAUAUUGCACAAUGGAGGAAACUCUGAUGCAGCGACGCCGCGUGAGUGAAGAAGUAUUUCGGCAUGUAAAGCUCUAUCAGCAGGGAAGAAAGACUCGUAAGAGAGAUGACGGUACCUGACUAAGAAGCCCCGGCUAACUACGUGCCAGCAGCUGC